Molecule: ribosomal RNA, 475 nt
Filed under: Listeria monocytogenes
Lineage: Bacteria; Bacillati; Bacillota; Bacilli; Caryophanales; Listeriaceae
Description: bacterial SSU rRNA
Rfam family: Bacterial small subunit ribosomal RNA
Source: RNAcentral
GGACGAACGCUGGCGGCGUGCCUAAUACAUGCAAGUCGAACGAACGGAGGAAGAGCUUGCUCUUCCAAAGUUAGUGGCGGACGGGUGAGUAACACGUGGGCAACCUGCCUGUAAGUUGGGGAUAACUCCGGGAAACCGGGGCUAAUACCGAAUGAUARAGUGUGGCGCAUGCCACGCUUUUGAAAGAUGGUUUCGGCUAUCGCUUACAGAUGGGCCCGCGGUGCAUUAGCUAGUUGGUAGGGUAAUGGCCUACCAAGGCAACGAUGCAUAGCCGACCUGAGAGGGUGAUCGGCCACACUGGGACUGAGACACGGCCCAGACUCCUACGGGAGGCAGCAGUAGGGAAUCUUCCGCAAUGGACGAAAGUCUGACGGAGCAACGCCGCGUGUAUGAAGAAGGUUUUCGGAUCGUAAAGUACUGUUGUUAGAGAAGAACAAGGAUAAGAGUAACUGCUUGUCCCUUGACGGUAUCUAAC